RNAcentral lists this small nucleolar RNA (81 nucleotides) under Falco tinnunculus (common kestrel). Its description in RNAcentral is "Small nucleolar RNA U2-19 (ENSFTIG00000008497.1)". It matches the Rfam family "Small nucleolar RNA U2-19". Rfam says of the family: U2-19 is a member of the C/D class of snoRNA which contain the C (UGAUGA) and D (CUGA) box motifs. Lineage: Eukaryota; Metazoa; Chordata; Aves; Falconiformes; Falconidae. The record is from Rfam by way of RNAcentral.
GGUCUGUGAUGAGAAAUAGCCAAAUCUGACCACGGGAGGAUAAAAUCUUCCAGGUGUCAUGAUUUGUAUGCAGUUCUGAGA